RNAcentral lists this ribosomal RNA (253 nucleotides) under uncultured bacterium. RNAcentral's name for it is "partial 16S ribosomal RNA". It matches the Rfam family "Bacterial small subunit ribosomal RNA", at positions 524 to 776 of the family's 1533-position model. The record is from RNAcentral.
UACGUAGGAUGCAAGCGUUGUCCGGAAUCAUUGGGCGUAAAGCGCGUGUAGGCGGCCCGGUAAGUCCGCUGUGAAAGUCCAGGGCUCAACCCUGGGAUGCCGGUGGAUACUGUCGGGCUCGAGUCCGGAAGAGGCGAGUGGAAUUCCUGGUGUAGCGGUGAAAUGCGCAGAUAUCAGGAGGAACACCAAUGGCGAAGGCAGCUCGCUGGGACGUGACUGACGCUGAGACGCGAAAGCGUGGGGAGCAAACAGG